RNAcentral lists this ribosomal RNA (116 nucleotides) under uncultured bacterium. RNAcentral's name for it is "partial 16S ribosomal RNA". It matches the Rfam family "Bacterial small subunit ribosomal RNA", at positions 1369 to 1482 of the family's 1533-position model. The record is from RNAcentral.
CGUUCCCGGGCCUUGUACACACCGCCCGUCACACCACGAAAGCGAGCAACACCCGAAGCCGGUGGCCUAACCCGCAAGGGAGGGAGCCGUCGAAGGUGGGGCCCGCGAUUGGGGUG